RNAcentral lists this ribosomal RNA (401 nucleotides) under uncultured bacterium. RNAcentral's name for it is "bacterial SSU rRNA". It matches the Rfam family "Bacterial small subunit ribosomal RNA", at positions 356 to 773 of the family's 1533-position model. The record is from RNAcentral.
GGGGAAUAUUGCGCAAUGGGGGGAACCCUGACGCAGCAACGCCGCGUGAGUGAAGAAGGUUUUCGGAUCGUAAAGCUCUGUCAUCGGGGACGAAGAAUGACGGUACCCGAAGAGGAAGCCCCGGCUAACUACGUGCCAGCAGCCGCGGUAAUACGCAGGGGGCGAGCGUUGUCCGGAAUUACUGGGCGUAAAGGGUGCGUAGGCGGCCUGAUAAGUCAGAUGUGAAAUACCAGGGCUUAACCCUGGGGGUGCAUUUGAAACUGUCGGGCUUGAGUGCAGGAGAGGAAAGCGGAAUUCCUAGUGUAGCGGUGAAAUGCGUAGAUAUUAGGAGGAACACCAGUGGCGAAGGCGGCUUUCUGGACUGUAACUGACGCUGAGGCACGAAAGCGUGGGUAGCGAAC